AUUGAACGCUGGCGGCAGGCCUAACACAUGCGAGUCGAGCGGAUGAAGCGGGUUUGUUGCUGGUUUCGGCGGCGGACGGGCGAGUAAGGUCUAGGAAUGUGCCAGGUAGUGGGGGAUAAUGUUAGGAAGUGGGCGCGAAUACCGCAACCGCGCAGAGGCCCAAAGGGGGAGAUCUUCGGACCUCAGGCCAUCAGCCGAGGCUAUGUCGGAUUAGCUAGUUGGUGGGGUAAAGGCCUACCAGGGCGACGAUCCGUAACCGGUCUGAGAGGAUGAUCAGUCACACUGGAACUGAGACACGGUCCAGACUCCUACGGGAGGCAGCAGUGGGGAAUAUUGGACAAUGGGCGCAAGCCUGAUCCAGCCAUGCCGCGUGUGUGAAGAAGGCCUUCGGGUUGUAAAGCACUUUAAGUUGGGAGGAAGGGCAGUAAGUUAAUACCUUGCUGUUUUGACGUUACCAACAGAAUAAGCACCGGCUAACUUCGUG
Molecule: ribosomal RNA, 484 nt
Filed under: uncultured bacterium
Lineage: Bacteria
Description: partial 16S ribosomal RNA
Rfam family: Bacterial small subunit ribosomal RNA
Source: RNAcentral